RNAcentral lists this ribosomal RNA (495 nucleotides) under uncultured bacterium. RNAcentral describes it as "partial 16S ribosomal RNA". It matches the Rfam family "Bacterial small subunit ribosomal RNA", at positions 28 to 507 of the family's 1533-position model. The record is from RNAcentral.
GACGAACGCUGGCGGCGUGCCUAAUACAUGCAAGUAGAACGCUGAAGGAGGAGCUUGCUCUUCUGGAUGAGUUGCGAACGGGUGAGUAACGCGUAGGUAGCCUGCCUGGUAGCGGGGGAUAACUAUUGGAAACGAUAGCUAAUACCGCAUAAUAGUAGAUGUUGCAUGAUAUUUACUUAAAAGGUGCAAUUGCACCACUACCAGAUGGACCUGCGUUGUAUUAGCUAGUUGGUGGGGUAACGGCUCACCAAGGCGACGAUACAUAGCCGACCUGAGAGGGUGAUCGGCCACACUGGGACUGAGACACGGCCCAGACUCCUACGGGAGGCAGCAGUAGGGAAUCUUCGGCAAUGGACGAAAGUCUGACCGAGCAACGCCGCGUGAGUGAAGAAGGUUUUCGGAUCGUAAAGCUCUGUUGUAAGAGAAGAACGAGUGUGAGAGUGGAAAGUUCACACUGUGACGGUAUCUUACCAGAAAGGGACGGCUAACUACGUG